AGUGAACGCUGGCGGUAGGCCUAACACAUGCAAGUCGAACGGCAGCACAGUAAGAGCUUGCUCUUACGGGUGGCGAGUGGCGGACGGGUGAGGAAUACAUCGGAGUCUACUUUUUCGUGGGGGAUAACGUAGGGAAACUUACGCUAAUACCGCAUACGACCUACGGGGGAAAGCAGGGGAUCUUCGGACCUUGCGCGAUUGAAUGAGCCGAUGUCGGAUUAGCUAGUUGGCGGGGUAAAGGCCCACCAAGGCGACGAUCCGUAGCUGGUCUGAGAGGAUGAUCAGCCACACUGGAACUGAGACACGGUCCAGACUCCUACGGGAGGCAGCAGUGGGGAAUAUUGGACAAUGGGCGCAAGCCUGAUCCAGCCAUACCGCGUGGGUGAAGAAGGCCUUCGGGUUGUAAAGCCCUUUUGUUGGGAAAGAAAAGCAGCAGGUUAAUACCCCGCUGUUCUGACGGUACCCAAAGAAUAAGCACCGGCUAACUUCGUG
This 492-nucleotide ribosomal RNA is filed under the name uncultured bacterium. RNAcentral's name for it is "partial 16S ribosomal RNA". It matches the Rfam family "Bacterial small subunit ribosomal RNA", at positions 29 to 507 of the family's 1533-position model. The record is from RNAcentral.